UGGGGAAUCUUCCGCAAUGGACGAAAGUCUGACGGAGCAACGCCGCGUGUAUGAUGAAGGUCUUCGGAUUGUAAAGUACUGUCAUUGGGGAAGAACGGUUUUCUUGAAAAGAUUGAGAAGACAUGACGGUACCCAAGGAGGAAGCCCCGGCUAACUACGUGCCAGCAGCCGCGGUAAUACGUAGGGUGCAAGCGUUAAUCGGAAUUACUGGGCGUAAAGCGUGCGCAGGCGGUUCGGAAAGAAAGGUGUGAAAUCCCAGGGCUUAACCUUGGAACUGCACUUUUAACUACCGGGCUAGAGUACGUCAGAGGGGGGUAGAAUUCCACGUGUAGCAGUGAAAUGCGUAGAGAUGUGGAGGAAUACCGAUGGCGAAGGCAGCCCCCUGGGAUGAUACUGACGCUCAUGCACGAAAGCGUGGGGAGCAAACA
This 428-nucleotide ribosomal RNA is filed under the name uncultured bacterium. RNAcentral's name for it is "bacterial SSU rRNA". It matches the Rfam family "Bacterial small subunit ribosomal RNA", at positions 355 to 774 of the family's 1533-position model. The record is from RNAcentral.